Molecule: ribosomal RNA, 636 nt
Filed under: Triticum aestivum (bread wheat)
Lineage: Eukaryota; Viridiplantae; Streptophyta; Magnoliopsida; Poales; Poaceae
Description: partial small subunit ribosomal RNA
Source: RNAcentral
AUGCCAAACAAUAAUCAUCUACUUGAAGAAGUAUGGGAGGUCGAGCACGUAGAGGAGGAAGUAGGCCCAGAUGGCGCCCGAGACACCGCCGAAGAAGAAGCCUCCGGUGAACUGCGACCAGCCUUCCGCAGUCUGCAGCUUGUCGGCCUCCUUCUUGCGGCCGGUGAGCGUGAGCGCGGGCGCGGUGGAGGGCGCGCCCUCGUUGAAGGAGGCGACGCCGUACAUGGUGAGGCAGACGCUGAGGAUGGAGACGAGGCCGAUGGCGCCGAGGGUUCCCGCCUGGCCGUGAAUUGGCGUGUUGCGGAGCGGGCCGGUGAGCGCGAAGGGGCCGACGAGGAGAUAGCCGUGGGCGAGGCCGACCUCGAUGCCGCGGAGGAGCGGGCUGACGGCGGUGCGGUACGCGGGGAGGGGGCUGGAGGUGACGGGCGUCUCCAGGCUGCCGAUGAACGGGUCGCCGUUGAUGGGCUGGACCACCUGGUACGUCCCCUGUUUGUAGGAGAGAGAGGAGACACAAGAAUAUGUAUGAGAUACAAGUGUGGUGAAUCGCUUAAUUUUAGCUCUCUCUUCCAUGCAAUUGCAACUGACCUUGUCAGACUUGACGGCCUUGACGACGAAGCGGGGCCUCCUGGUGAGUGA